This 253-nucleotide ribosomal RNA is filed under the name uncultured bacterium. RNAcentral describes it as "partial 16S ribosomal RNA". It matches the Rfam family "Bacterial small subunit ribosomal RNA", at positions 524 to 776 of the family's 1533-position model. The record is from RNAcentral.
UACGUAGGGUGCGAGCGUUAAUCGGAAUUACUGGGCGUAAAGCGCACGUAGGUGGUUUGUUAAGCUAGAUGUGAAAGCCCCGGGCUCAACCUGGGAAUUGCAUUUAGAACUGGCAAGCUAGAGUAGGGUAGAGGGGUGUGGAAUUCCAGGUGUAGCGGUGAAAUGCGUAGAUAUCUGGAGGAACAUCAGUGGCGAAGGCGGCACCCUGGACUCAUACUGACACUGAGGUGCGAAAGCGUGGGGAGCAAACAGG